Molecule: small nucleolar RNA, 129 nt
Organism: Scomber japonicus (chub mackerel)
Lineage: Eukaryota; Metazoa; Chordata; Actinopteri; Scombriformes; Scombridae
Product: small nucleolar RNA ACA64
Exons: 1
Source: RefSeq, a predicted model, not a curated record
ACAGUCUGAAAAUGGGCCCGGGUCUCUCAGUGGUCUGGGUUCAGAUAACUGUGCCGACAUUAUUUUGGUGCGUUAAGCUUAUUGCGAGUCUCCCGGUGUCAUCGUGAUAAAACCCAUGUACCAACAAAC